GGGAAGAUGAAACAUGAAAAUGUGCUACCUUUGCGGGCAUUUUACUAUUCAAAAGAUGAAAAAUUGUUGGUAUCUGAUUACAUGCCUGCUGGAAGUUUAUCAGCUCUUCUCCAUGGUAGUAGAGGAUCAGGGCGUACGCCACUUGACUGGGAUAGUCGAAUGAGGAUAGUGUUAGGUGCAGCAAGAGGCAUUGCAUACCUCCAUAUUUCAGGAAAAGUUGUACAUGGAAACAUCAAGGCUUCGAAUGUUCUCCUUAAACAAGAUAACCAAGAUGCAUGUGUAUCCGACUAUGGAUUGAACCCUCUAUUCUCCACCUCUGCACCAGUUAACCACCGUGUUGCAGGAUAUCGUGCACCUGAGGUUCUUGAAACUAGAAAAGUCAC
This 383-nucleotide unclassified non-coding RNA is filed under the name Hevea brasiliensis (rubber tree). Lineage: Eukaryota; Viridiplantae; Streptophyta; Magnoliopsida; Malpighiales; Euphorbiaceae. The record is from RNAcentral.